GACGCACAGUUUAUACCGUAGCUUGCUACACCAUAGACUGUGAGUUGCGAACGGGUGAGUAACGCGUAGGUAACCUACCUAUUAGAGGGGGAUAACUAUUGGAAACGAUAGCUAAUACCGCAUAACAGUAUGUAACACAUGUUAGACGCUUGAAAGAUGCAAUUGCAUCGCUAGUAGAUGGACCUGCGUUGUAUUAGCUAGUAGGUAGGGUAAUGGCCUACCUAGGCAACGAUACAUAGCCGACCUGAGAGGGUGAUCGGCCACACUGGGACUGAGACACGGCCCAGACUCCUACGGGAGGCAGCAGUAGGGAAUCUUCGGCAAUGGGGGGAACCCUGACCGAGCAACGCCGCGUGAGUGAAGAAGGUUUUCGGAUCGUAAAGCUCUGUUGUUAAGGAAGAACGAGUGUGAGAAUGGAAAGUUCAUGCUGUGACGGUACUUAACCAGAAAGGGACGGCUAACUACGUGCCAGCAGCCGCGGUAAUACGUAGGUCCCGAGCGUUGUCCGGAUUUAUUGGGCGUAAAGCGAGCGCAGGCGGUUAGAAAAGUCUGAAGUGAAAGGCAGUGGCUCAACCAUUGUAGGCUUUGGAAACUGUUUAACUUGAGUGCAGAAGGGGAGAGUGGAAUUCCAUGUGUAGCGGUGAAAUGCGUAGAUAUAUGGAGGAACACCGGUGGCGAAAGCGGCUCUCUGGUCUGUAACUGACGCUGAGGCUCGAAAGCGUGGGGAGCGAACAGGAUUAGAUACCCUGGUAGUCCACGCCGUANACGAUGAGUGCUAGGUGUUAGGUCCUUUCCGGGACUUAGUGCCGCAGCUUACGCAUUAAGCACUCCGCCUGGGGA
Molecule: ribosomal RNA, 840 nt
Filed under: uncultured bacterium
Lineage: Bacteria
Description: bacterial SSU rRNA
Rfam family: Bacterial small subunit ribosomal RNA
Source: RNAcentral